This 228-nucleotide ribosomal RNA is filed under the name uncultured bacterium. RNAcentral's name for it is "partial 16S ribosomal RNA". It matches the Rfam family "Bacterial small subunit ribosomal RNA", at positions 28 to 252 of the family's 1533-position model. The record is from RNAcentral.
GAUGAACGCUAGCGGCAGGCUUAAUACAUGCAAGUCGAGGGGCAGCAUAAGUAGCAAUACUUGAUGGCGACCGGCAAACGGGUGCGGAACACGUACGCAACCUUCCUUUAAGUGGGGAAUAGCCCGGGGAAACCCGGAUUAAUACCCCGUAAUAUUAUGAUGUGGCAUCACUUUAUAAUUAUAGAUUCAUCGCUUAAAGAAUGGGCGUGCGCCUGAUUAGGUAGUUGG